GAAAGCCUGACGGAGCAACGCCGCGUGAACGAUGAAGGUCUUAGGAUCGUAAAGUUCUGUUGUUAGGGACGAAGGGUAAGAAUCAUAAUAAGGUUUUUAUUUGACGGUACCUAACGAGGAAGCCACGGCUAACUACGUGCCAGCAGCCGCGGUAAUACGUAGGCGGCAAGCGUUGUCCGGAAUUAUUGGGCGUAAAGGGAGCGCAGGCGGGAAACUAAGCGGAUCUUAAAAGUGCGGGGCUCAACCCCGUGAUGGGGUCCGAACUGGUUUUCUUGAGUGCAGGAGAGGAAAGCGGAAUUCCCAGUGUAGCGGUGAAAUGCGUAGAUAUUGGGAAGAACACCAGUGGCGAAGGCGGCUUUCUGGACUGUAACUGACGCUGAGGCUCGAAAGCUAGGGUAGCGAACGGGAUUAGAUACCCCGGUAGUCCUAGCCGUAAACGAUGGAUACUAGGUGUGGGAGGUAUCGACUCCUUC
Molecule: ribosomal RNA, 473 nt
Filed under: uncultured organism
Description: bacterial SSU rRNA
Rfam family: Bacterial small subunit ribosomal RNA
Source: RNAcentral